UACGGAGGGUGCGAGCGUUCAUCGGAAUUACUGGGCGUACAGCGCGCGUAGGUGGCUUGAUAAGCAGGUUGUGAAAGCCCCGGGCUCAACCUGGGGACGGCAUCCGGAACUGUCAGGCUAGAGUGCAGGAGAGGAAGGUAGAAUUCCCGGUGUAGCGGUGAAAUGCGUAGAGCUCGGGAGGAAUACCAGUGGCGAAGGCGGCCUUCUGCACUGACACUGACACUGAGGUGCGAAAGCGUGGGUAGCAAACAGG
RNAcentral lists this unclassified non-coding RNA (253 nucleotides) under uncultured Halomonadaceae bacterium. RNAcentral describes it as "contains 16S-23S intergenic spacer region". It matches the Rfam family "Bacterial small subunit ribosomal RNA", at positions 524 to 776 of the family's 1533-position model. The record is from RNAcentral. Lineage: Bacteria; Pseudomonadati; Pseudomonadota; Gammaproteobacteria; Oceanospirillales; Halomonadaceae.